RNAcentral lists this ribosomal RNA (474 nucleotides) under uncultured organism. Its description in RNAcentral is "partial 16S ribosomal RNA". It matches the Rfam family "Bacterial small subunit ribosomal RNA", at positions 334 to 799 of the family's 1533-position model. The record is from RNAcentral.
CACUCCUACGGGAGGCAGCAGUGGGGAAUUUUGGACAAUGGGCGAAAGCCUGAUCCAGCAAUGCCGCGUGAGUGAAGAAGGCCUUCGGGUUGUCAAGCUCUUUUGUCAGGGAAGAAACGGUGAAAGCUAAUAUCUUUUGCUAAUGACGGUACCUGAAGAAUAAGCACCGGCUAACUACGUGCCAGCAGCCGCGGUAAUACGUAGGGUGCAAGCGUUAAUCGGAAUUACUGGGCGUAAAGCGUGCGCAGGCGGUUUUGUAAGUCUGAUGUGAAAUCCCCGGGCUCAACCUGGGAAUUGCAUUGGAGACUGCAAGGCUAGAAUCUGGCAGAGGGGGGUAGAAUUCCACGUGUAGCAGUGAAAUGCGUAGAUAUGUGGAGGAACACCGAUGGCGAAGGCAGCCCCCUGGGUCAAGAUUGACGCUCAUGCACGAAAGCGUGGGGAGCAAACAGGAUUAGAUACCCCUGUAGUCCCAUG